GAUGAACGCUGGCGGCGUGCCUAAUACAUGCAAGUCGAACGAGACUUCUUUAUCACCGAGUGCUUGCACUCACCGAUAAAGAGUUGAUUGGCUAACGGUUGAGUAAAACGUGGGCAACCGGCCCAAAAGAGGGGGAUAACACUUGGAAACAGGUUCUAAUGCCGCAUAACCAUCGUUACCUCAUGGUAACUAUGUAAAAGGUGACUAUACUACCGCUUGUGGAUGGGCCAGCGGCGCAUUAGUUAGUUGGUAGGGUAAAGGCUUACAAAGGCAAUGAUGCGAAGCCGCAUCGAGAGGUAGAUACGCCACAUUGGCACUGAGACACGGCAGCAACUCCUACGGUAGGCCGCAGUCGGGACUCCUCCAGAAUGGGGGAAAGCCUGAUGGAGCACCGCCGCCUGGGGGAAGAACCUCUUAUGCUCGUAAAACCAUGUUGUCAGAGAAGAAAGUGCGCUCGAGUACCUGUUCACGUUUCGACGGUAUCUAAACAGAAAGCCACGGCUAACUCCGUG
Molecule: ribosomal RNA, 512 nt
Filed under: uncultured bacterium
Lineage: Bacteria
Description: partial 16S ribosomal RNA
Rfam family: Bacterial small subunit ribosomal RNA
Source: RNAcentral